GACGAACGCUGGCGGCGUGCUUAACACAUGCAAGUCGAACGGUAAGGCCCUUCGGGGUACACGAGUGGCGAACGGGUGAGUAACACGUGGGUGAUCUGCCCUGCACUUCGGGAUAAGCCUGGGAAACUGGGUCUAAUACCGGAUAGGACCACUGCCUGCAUGGGUGGUGGUGGAAAGCUUUUGCGGUGUGGGAUGGGCCCGCGGCCUAUCAGCUUGUUGGUGGGGGGAUGGCCUACCAAGGCGACGACGGGUAGCCGGCCUGGGAGGGUGACCGUCCACACUGGGACUGAGAUACGGCCCAGACUCCUACGGGAGGCAGCAGUGGGGAAUAUUGCACAAUGGGCGCAAGCCUGAUGCAGCGACGCCGCGUGAGGGAUGACGGCCUUCGGGUUGUAAACCUCUUUCAGCACCGACGAAGCGCAAGUGACGGUAGGUGCAGAAGAAGGACCGGCCAACUACGUGCCAGCCGCCGCAGUAA
RNAcentral lists this ribosomal RNA (478 nucleotides) under uncultured bacterium. RNAcentral's name for it is "partial 16S ribosomal RNA". It matches the Rfam family "Bacterial small subunit ribosomal RNA", at positions 28 to 523 of the family's 1533-position model. The record is from RNAcentral.